UACGAAGGGGGCUAGCGUUGCUCGGAAUCACUGGGCGUAAAGCGCACGUAGGCGGAUUGCUAAGUCAGGGGUGAAAUCCUGGAGCUCAACUCCAGAACUGCCUUUGAUACUGGCGACCUUGAGUCCGGGAGAGGUGAGUGGAACUGCGAGUGUAGAGGUGAAAUUCGUAGAUAUUCGCAAGAACACCAGUGGCGAAGGCGGCUCACUGGCCGUGUACGACGCUGAGGUGCGAAAGCGUGGGAGCAAACAGGG
RNAcentral lists this ribosomal RNA (252 nucleotides) under uncultured bacterium. Its description in RNAcentral is "partial 16S ribosomal RNA". It matches the Rfam family "Bacterial small subunit ribosomal RNA", at positions 524 to 777 of the family's 1533-position model. The record is from RNAcentral.